GACGAACGCUGGCGGCGUGCUUAACACAUGCAAGUCGAACGGAAAGGCCCUGCUCUUGUGGGGUGCUCGAGUGGCGAACGGGUGAGUAACACGUGAGUAACCUGCCCUUGACUUUGGGAUAACUUCAGGAAACUGGGGCUAAUACCGGAUAGGAGCUCCUGCUGCAUGGUGGGGGUUGGAAAGUUUCGGCGGUUGGGGAUGGACUCGCGGCUUAUCAGCUUGUUGGUGGGGUAGUGGCUUACCAAGGCUUUGACGGGUAGCCGGCCUGAGAGGGUGACCGGCCACAUUGGGACUGAGAUACGACCCAGACGCGUACGGGAGGCAGCAGUGGGGAAUAUUGCGCAGUGGGGGGACGCCUGAUGCAGCGGCGCCGUGUGCGUGAUGACGGCCUUCGGGUUGUAAACCGCUUUCGCCUGUGAUGAGGCGUGAGUGACGGUAAUGGGUAAAGAAGCACCGGCUAACUACGUG
RNAcentral lists this ribosomal RNA (468 nucleotides) under uncultured bacterium. Its description in RNAcentral is "partial 16S ribosomal RNA". It matches the Rfam family "Bacterial small subunit ribosomal RNA", at positions 28 to 507 of the family's 1533-position model. The record is from RNAcentral.